AGUUUGAUCAUGGCUCAGAUUGAACGCUGGCUGUGCAAGGCCUAACACAUGCAAGUCGAGCGGCAGCACAAGUAAGUUUACUUAUGAGGUGGCGAGCGGCGGACGGGUGAGUAAUGCCUAGGGAUCUGCCCAGUCGAGGGGGAUAACAGUUGGAAACGACUGCUAAUACCGCAUACGCCCUACGGGGGAAAGAGGGGGACCUUCGGGCCUCUCGCGAUUGGAUGAACCUAGGUGGGAUUAGCUAGUUGGUGAGGUAAUGGCUCACCAAGGCGACGAUCCCUAGCUGUUCUGAGAGGAUGAUCAGCCACACUGGGACUGAGACACGGCCCAGACUCCUACGGGAGGCAGACAGUGGGGAAUAUUGCACAAUGGGGGAAACCCUGAUGCAGCCAUGCCGCCGUGUGUGAAGAAGGCCUUCAGNGGUUGUAAAGCACUUUCAGUAGGGGAGGCAACAGGGUGAGUCUUNAUACGGACUCAUCUGUGACGUUACCUUACAGAAGAAGGGACCCGGCUAACUCCGUGCCAAGCAGCCGCGNGUAAUACGGAGGGUCCAGAGCGUUAAUC
RNAcentral lists this ribosomal RNA (564 nucleotides) under uncultured bacterium. Its description in RNAcentral is "bacterial SSU rRNA". It matches the Rfam family "Bacterial small subunit ribosomal RNA", at positions 10 to 546 of the family's 1533-position model. The record is from RNAcentral.